CCUACGGGAGGCUGCAGUGAGGAAUAUUGGUCAAUGGGCGAGAGCCUGAACCAGCCAUCCCGCGUGAAGGAAGAAGGCGCUAUGCGUUGUAAACUUCUUUUUCAGGGGGAUAAAAUAUUGUAUGUAUACGAUACUGAAGGUACCCUGAGAAUAAGCAUCGGCUAACUCCGUGCCAGCAGCCGCGGUAAUACGGAGGAUGCGAGCGUUAUCCGGAUUUAUUGGGUUUAAAGGGUGCGUAGGCGGAAUAAUAAGUCAGUGGUGAAACCCUGCAGCUUAACUGUAGACUUGCCAUUGAUACUGUUUUUCUUGAGUAUGGUCAAGGCAGGCGGAAUGUGUAAUGUAGCGGUGAAAUGCUUAGAUAUUACACAGAACACCGAUAGCGAAGGCAGCUUGCUGGGCCGUUACUGACGCUGAUGCACGAAAGCGUGGGGAUCGAACAGGAUUAGAUACCCCAGUAGUC
Molecule: ribosomal RNA, 460 nt
Filed under: uncultured Bacteroidota bacterium
Lineage: Bacteria; Pseudomonadati; Bacteroidota
Description: bacterial SSU rRNA
Rfam family: Bacterial small subunit ribosomal RNA
Source: RNAcentral